This 497-nucleotide ribosomal RNA is filed under the name uncultured bacterium. RNAcentral describes it as "partial 16S ribosomal RNA". It matches the Rfam family "Bacterial small subunit ribosomal RNA", at positions 28 to 507 of the family's 1533-position model. The record is from RNAcentral.
GAUGAACGCUGGCGGCGUGCCUAAUACAUGCAAGUCGAGCGAACAGACGAGGAGCUUGCUCCUCUGACGUUAGCGGCGGACAGGUGAGUAACACGUGGAUAACCUACCUAUAAGACUGGGAUAACUUCGGGAAACCGGAGCUAAUACCGGAUAAUAUAUUGAACCGCAUGGUUCAAUAGUGAAAGACGGUUUUGCUGUCACUUAUAGAUGGAUCCGCGCCGCAUUAGCUAGUUGGUAAGGUAACGGCUUACCAAGGCAACGAUGCGUAGCCGACCUGAGAGGGUGAUCGGCCACACUGGAACUGAGACACGGUCCAGACUCCUACGGGAGGCAGCAGUAGGGUAUCUUCCGCAAUGGGCGAAAGCUUGACGGAGCAACGCCGCGUGAGUGAUGAAGGUCUUCGGAUCGUAAAACUCUGUUAUUAGGGAAGAACAAAUGUGUAAGUAACUAUGCACGUCUUGACGGUACCUAAUCAGAAAGCCACGGCUAACUACGUG